UUCGUAGGCGGUGCGGUAAGUCGGAAGUGAAAUCUCUGGGCUUAACUCAGAGGCUGCUUUCGAAACUGCCGUGCUAGAGUGCGGGAGAGGCGAGUGGAAUUACAGGUGUAGCGGUGAAAUGCGUAGAUAUCUGUAGGAACACCCGUGGCGAAGGCGGCUCGCUGGACCGCAACUGACGCUGAGGAACGAAAGCUAGGGAGCAAACA
This 206-nucleotide ribosomal RNA is filed under the name uncultured bacterium. Its description in RNAcentral is "partial 16S ribosomal RNA". It matches the Rfam family "Bacterial small subunit ribosomal RNA", at positions 568 to 774 of the family's 1533-position model. The record is from RNAcentral.